GAUGAACGCUAGCUACAGGCUUAACACAUGCAAGUCGAACGAGAAUCAACGGAUUGAGGAUUCGUCCAAAUGAAGUUGAGGAAAGUGGCGGACGGGUGAGUAACGCGUGAGGAACCUGCCUCGGAGUGGGGAAUAACAGUUGGAAACAGCUGCUAAUACCGCAUAAUGCAACGGAAUCGCAUGACUCUGUUGCCAAAGAUUUAUCGCUCUGAGAUGGCCUCGCGUCUGAUUAGCUAGUUGGCGGGGUAACGGCCCACCAAGGCGACGAUCAGUAGCCGGACUGAGAGGUUGGCCGGCCACAUUGGGACUGAGACACGGCCCAG
Molecule: ribosomal RNA, 323 nt
Filed under: uncultured bacterium
Lineage: Bacteria
Description: bacterial SSU rRNA
Rfam family: Bacterial small subunit ribosomal RNA
Source: RNAcentral